Rhea pennata is the source of this 1069-nucleotide long non-coding RNA. RefSeq lists it as uncharacterized. Lineage: Eukaryota; Metazoa; Chordata; Aves; Rheiformes; Rheidae. The transcript is spliced from 3 exons. The record is from RefSeq and is a predicted model, not a curated record.
ACCCCGGCCCGGGCGGCCGCGCUGUGGGGCUGGAGCGGGCCUGUUCCCGGCUCCUCGCCUGCUCCCGUCGCCGCGGCAGGCUGGUCCCGGCACAAGCACCCACCCCGGGCCACCAGCAGCAGCCACCAGGGCUCUCGGGGCAGAUACCGGGACCGCAGCACGCUUCCAGACCCAACUCAAACAGAAACAUAUACACACGCGUGUAUAUGUAAAUAUAAAUAUAUAUAUAUACAUACAUACACACAUACAUACACACCCACACACUGAACACUCACUGUGGAAACGGCGUACAGAACGAACCGUCCGAGGUGCUGCGCUUUGCGAGAAGGCAAACGAAAGUAGACUCGCGACCGCAGAAAAGAUUCAUCGAUGUUUCCACAUCUCUGAUGGCCAUCUGGAAGAGAGGGUUCAAACAUCGCUUAUGUUCGCAGGCACGUGAGGACAAGGUUGCGAAGGUCUGCACAAAUCUCUCUGCACAAGACACAACUCAAGAAAAUCCUCCAUCCUUAUGGUCCCAGUUGUGUUGCAUGAUGACAUGUCCCUGCAUUUUCGUUUGAGGCCCCCUUUAAUUUGAAAGCAGACAAUGUUUAAUCUGAAUGAAGGGUACCUUCCUCCACCGGUUUCAGCAUGGUUUAAUCACUCAUCUAACAAUGGUGUCCAGAGCCCAUCAAGAGAACAUAAAUGCAAAAUAAACCAUUAGCAGUGAACUUCAUCAGUGGAGCUACGUGUACACAAAAAACUUCUGAAAACUACUUUGUAGAUGAGACUUCUCAAAUUCUUGUCUUCAGUAUGCACUUGAAUGAAAGAACCUUCUUUGCUGCUUUUGGGUAGUGAUACAGUAACUGCUAAGGACACCCAUCAGGAAAGAUCAAAAAAGGAAAAGAAGUGAUCAAAUUCAUUGCAAAUGGUCCUGGUUUACACACUUUACAAACCCAUCCUUUUCUGAUACCUUUCAGGAUCAUAGUAUAUAGAGGAAGAAUGUCUGCGUGCUACCUGGCAGAUGAUACCUGUUAAAUAAUUCCAUAUGAUAGUGAAGGUGUGAUUAUCUAAAAUAAAGUGUUACUUAUCA